GCGAGGCCAGCCAAUCAACGGAGGCACAACAUAGCGGGCCCUCUCUAGCUGUGCCUGUCGAGGCCUUGGCCAAUUUCCGCGUUAGAGGGCUAUUUGAAUUGGGGGCGCGCGAGGCGCUGCUGUCAAGGAGCCGGAGCUGCUGCGCAAGUCGCAGUUCAACGCUUCGGUUCUGGAUCAUCGAUGCCAGAAACAAAAUAAGAUCAGCUCUUAGCACUUUCAGUGCCCAGUGCAGCUUUUAGGCUGGAUCGGCGCUGAAGCUUGUGGAGAGGAGAGGAGACUGGCUUCCGCUGCCUGCGGCACCGCGCGAUCGUACCUGGAAGAGUCUGAAGAAACGGGGUCCAUCAGCGCCCAGAUGGACGGCCUUUUCAGCAGCUGACGCCGAGCAGAGAGAGCGGCGGAGGAUGUGCCCUCUUUCCUUCCCAGACCUGUUGGGAGAUUCACGGAGGGUGAAGCUCCUGAACUGCAGAGAUCCGUUGGGUACAGGGGUAGAUCCGCUUUGAAAAGGUUUGCUUUGGAAUUAGACAGCGAGGACUCGAAGCAGAACUUCCUGAUCGUCCUGUUUUCUUCAACCGGCUGGGUGUGCCCUAUUAAUACAAUUCAUAUUAUGCGACGUGUACAAUAAACAAUGGCAAUGAAUGUUCGGAUGACCCAGAGCAAAUUUUCUAUGUAAUAGAGAGGCGAGCUUUCUUUCUAUUUCUGUUGCGAUAAUAGUAAUAAAUUAUUUUACCAAACCACA
Hemicordylus capensis (graceful crag lizard) is the source of this 736-nucleotide long non-coding RNA. RefSeq lists it as uncharacterized. The record is from RefSeq and is a predicted model, not a curated record. The transcript has 3 exons. NCBI's taxonomy places the organism in Eukaryota, Metazoa, Chordata, Lepidosauria, Squamata, Cordylidae.